GGGUUGUGAGGUUAAGCGACUAAGCGUACACGGUGGAUGCCCUGGCAGUCAGAGGCGAUGAAGGACGUGCUAAUCUGCGAAAAGCGUCGGUAAGGUGAUAUGAACCGUUACAGCCGGCGAUGUCCGAAUGGGGAAACCCAGUGCAAUUCGUUGCACUAUCGUUAACUGAAUACAUAGGUUAACGAGGCGAACCGGGGGAACUGAAACAUCUAAGUACCCCGAGGAAAAGAAAUCAACCGAGAUUCCCCCAGUAGCGGCGAGCGAACGGGGAGCAGCCCGGAGUCUGAAUCAGCUUGUGUGUUAGUGGAAGCGUCUGGAAAGUCGCAGGGUACAGGGUGAUACUCCCGUACACUAAAACACACAGGUUGUGAACUCGAAGAGUAGGGCGGGACACGUGGUAUCCUGUCUGAAUAUGGGGGGACCAUCCUCCAAGGCUAAAUACUCCUGACUGACCGAUAGUGAACCAGUACCGUGAGGGAAAGGCGAAAAGAACCCCGGCGAGGGGAGUGAAAAAGAACCUGAAACCGUGUACGUACAAGCAGUAGGAGCCCACUUGUUGGGUGACUGCGUACCUUUUGUAUAAUGGGUCAGCGACUUAUAUUCUGUAGCAAGGUUAACCGUAUAGGGGAGCCGCAGGGAAACCGAGUCUUAACUGGGCGUUAAGUUGCAGGGUAUAGACCCGAAACCCGGUGAUCUAGCCAUGGGCAGGUUGAAGGUUGGGUAACACUAACUGGAGGACCGAACCGACUAAUGUUGAAAAAUUAGCGGAUGACUUGUGGCUGGGGGUGAAAGGCCAAUCAAACCGGGAGAUAGCUGGUUCUCCCCGAAAGCUAUUUAGGUAGCGCCUCGUGAACUCAUCUUCGGGGGUAGAGCACUGUUUCGGCUAGGGGGUCAUCCCGACUUACCAACCCGAUGCAAACUACGAAUACCGAAGAAUGUUAUCACGGGAGACACACGGCGGGUGCUAACGUCCGUCGUGAAGAGGGAAACAACCCAGACCGCCAGCUAAGGUCCCAAAGUCAUGGUUAAGUGGGAAACGAUGUGGGAAGGCCCAGACAGCCAGGAUGUUGGCUUAGAAGCAGCCAUCAUUUAAAGAAAGCGUAAUAGCUCACUGGUCGAGUCGGCCUGCGCGGAAGAUGUAACGGGGCUAAACCAUGCACCGAAGCUGCGGCAGCGACACUAUGUGUUGUUGGGUAGGGGAGCGUUCUGUAAGCCGUUGAAGGUGGCCUGUGAGGGUUGCUGGAGGUAUCAGAAGUGCGAAUGCUGACAUAAGUAACGAUAAUGCGGGUGAAAAACCCGCACGCCGGAAGACCAAGGGUUCCUGUCCAACGUUAAUCGGGGCAGGGUGAGUCGACCCCUAAGGCGAGGCCGAAAGGCGUAGUCGAUGGGAAACAGGUUAAUAUUCCUGUACUCGGUGUUACUGCGAAGGGGGGACGGAGAAGGCUAUGUUGGCCGGGCGACGGUUGUCCCGGUUUAAGCAUGUAGGCGGAUGUUCCAGGUAAAUCCGGAACGUCACUAACGCUGAGGUGUGAUGACGAGGCACUACGGUGCUGAAGUGACAAAUGCCCUGCUUCCAGGAAAAGCCUCUAAGCAUCAGGUAACAUCAAAUCGUACCCCAAACCGACACAGGUGGUCAGGUAGAGAAUACCAAGGCGCUUGAGAGAACUCGGGUGAAGGAACUAGGCAAAAUGGUGCCGUAACUUCGGGAGAAGGCACGCUGAUGGUAGGUGAAGCGACUUGCUCGUGGAGCUGAAAUCAGUCGAAGAUACCAGCUGGCUGCAACUGUUUAUUAAAAACACAGCACUGUGCAAACACGAAAGUGGACGUAUACGGUGUGACGCCUGCCCGGUGCCGGAAGGUUAAUUGAUGGGGUUAUCCGUAAGGAGAAGCUCUUGAUCGAAGCCCCGGUAAACGGCGGCCGUAACUAUAACGGUCCUAAGGUAGCGAAAUUCCUUGUCGGGUAAGUUCCGACCUGCACGAAUGGCGUAAUGAUGGCCAGGCUGUCUCCACCCGAGACUCAGUGAAAUUGAACUCGCUGUGAAGAUGCAGUGUACCCGCGGCAAGACGGAAAGACCCCGUGAACCUUUACUAUAGCUUGACACUGAACACUGGUCCUUGAUGUGUAGGAUAGGUGGGAGGCUUUGAAGUGUGGACGCCAGUCUGCAUGGAGCCAUCCUUGAAAUACCACCCUUUAAUGGCUGGUGUUCUAACGUGGGCCCCUGAUCGGGGUUGCGGACAGUGUCUGGUGGGUAGUUUGACUGGGGCGGUCUCCUCCUAAAGAGUAACGGAGGAGCACGAAGGUCAGCUAAUCCUGGUCGGACAUCAGGAGGUUAGUGCAAUGGCAUAAGCUGGCUUGACUGCGAGCGUGACGGCGCGAGCAGGUGCGAAAGCAGGUCAUAGUGAUCCGGUGGUUCUGAAUGGAAGGGCCAUCGCUCAACGGAUAAAAGGUACUCCGGGGAUAACAGGCUGAUACCGCCCAAGAGUUCAUAUCGACGGCGGUGUUUGGCACCUCGAUGUCGGCUCAUCACAUCCUGGGGCUGAAGUAGGUCCCAAGGGUAUGGCUGUUCGCCAUUUAAAGUGGUACGCGAGCUGGGUUUAGAACGUCGUGAGACAGUUCGGUCCCUAUCUGCCGUGGGCGCUGGAGAAUUGAGGGGGGCUGCUCCUAGUACGAGAGGACCGGAGUGGACGCAUCACUGGUGUUCGGGUUGUCAUGCCAAUGGCAUUGCCCGGUAGCUAAAUGCGGAAGAGAUAAGUGCUGAAAGCAUCUAAGCACGAAACUUGCCCCGAGAUGAGUUCUCCCUGAC
RNAcentral lists this ribosomal RNA (2804 nucleotides) under Klebsiella michiganensis. RNAcentral describes it as "bacterial LSU rRNA". It matches the Rfam family "Bacterial large subunit ribosomal RNA". Lineage: Bacteria; Pseudomonadati; Pseudomonadota; Gammaproteobacteria; Enterobacterales; Enterobacteriaceae. The record is from RNAcentral.